CCUACGGGAGGCUGCAGUGGGGAAUAUUGGACAAUGGGGGGAACCCUGAUCCAGCCAUGCCGCGUGUGUGAAGAAGGCCCUCGGGUUGUAAAGCACUUUCAGUGAGGAAGAACGCCUGGUGGUUAAUACCCAUCAGGAAAGACAUCACUCACAGAAGAAGCACCGGCUAACUCCGUGCCAGCAGCCGCGGUAAUACGGAGGGUGCGAGCGUUAAUCGGAAUUACUGGGCGUAAAGCGCGCGUAGGUGGCUUGAUAAGCCGGUUGUGAAAGCCCCGGGCUCAACCUGGGAACGACAUCCGGAACUGUCAAGCUAGAGUGCAGGAGAGGAAGGUAGAAUUCCCGGUGUAGCGGUGAAAUGCGUAGAGAUCGGGAGGAAUACCAGUGGCGAAGGCGGCCUUCUGGACUGACACUGACACUGAGGUGCGAAAGCGUGGGUAGCAAACAGGAUUAGAUACCCUAGUAGUC
RNAcentral lists this ribosomal RNA (465 nucleotides) under Vreelandella stevensii. RNAcentral's name for it is "partial 16S ribosomal RNA". It matches the Rfam family "Bacterial small subunit ribosomal RNA", at positions 338 to 795 of the family's 1533-position model. The record is from RNAcentral. Lineage: Bacteria; Pseudomonadati; Pseudomonadota; Gammaproteobacteria; Oceanospirillales; Halomonadaceae.